Molecule: small RNA, 383 nt
Filed under: Oryza sativa Japonica Group (Japanese rice)
Lineage: Eukaryota; Viridiplantae; Streptophyta; Magnoliopsida; Poales; Poaceae
Description: sRNA Os07g0505101
Source: RNAcentral
GUUCCUGGCCCGGAUUCAUUCCCCACCUCCGACCCUCCGGUUCCAAUCCGGACGCGAGGCGACGCGAGAGGAGAAGCGAGGAAACGGCGCGGCGGCGCACCGACGUCAACGGCGACGGCGACCGCUUCCCAUCCGACGUCCACGCUCUCCGCCGCCUUCUCGCCGCGGAUAAUCAGUUGAUAUUCCCAAAUGUCGAUGGAUUGCUACCAGAGGGACCGGAGGAAGGCGAAGCUAGAUUGAUUAGUGAUGAAGUCCUGAAAAGAAUGUGCUUAAUCCUGAAAUAUAUUACUGUUCAUGCUUAACUAGAUAGAAAUAUGCAUGAUGUUCUGAAUUCUGAUGAAUGAUGACAGCAACUGAAUAUGGUGAAGAAUUGUCAUGAUGCU